This 460-nucleotide ribosomal RNA is filed under the name uncultured bacterium. Its description in RNAcentral is "partial 16S ribosomal RNA". It matches the Rfam family "Bacterial small subunit ribosomal RNA", at positions 338 to 795 of the family's 1533-position model. The record is from RNAcentral.
CCUACGGGAGGCAGCAGUGAGGAAUAUUGGUCAAUGGACGAGAGUCUGAACCAGCCAAGUAGCGUGAAGGAUGACUGCCCUAUGGGUUGUAAACUUCUUUUAUAAAGGAAUAAAACGAGGCACGUGUGCCUUUUUGCAUGUACUUUAUGAAUAAGGAUCGGCUAACCUCGUGCCAGCAGCCGCGGUAAUACGGAGGAUCCGAGCGUUAUCCGGAUUUGUUGGGUUGAAAGGGAGCGUAGAGGGGUUGUUAAGUCAGUUGUGAAAGUUUGCGGCGCAACCGUAAAAUUGCAAUUGAUACUGGCAGUCUUGAGUACAGUAGAGGUAGGCGGAAUUCGAGGUGUAGCGGUGAAAUGCGUAGAUAUCACGAAGAACCCCGAUUGCGAAGGCAGCUUACUAAACUGUGACUGACAUUGAUGCUCGAAAGUGUGGGGAGCAAACAGGAUUAGAUACCCGGGUAGUC